This 487-nucleotide ribosomal RNA is filed under the name uncultured bacterium. RNAcentral describes it as "SSU rRNA". It matches the Rfam family "Bacterial small subunit ribosomal RNA", at positions 26 to 518 of the family's 1533-position model. The record is from RNAcentral.
AGAACGAACGCUGGCGGCGUGGAUAAGACAUGCAAGUCGAACGGGAUUAUUUUGUAGCAAUACAGAAAUAAUUCAGUGGCGAACGGGUGCGUAACACGUGGGCAAUCUGCCGAAAAGUGGGGGAUAGCUCGCCGAAAGGCGAAUUAAUACCGCAUGUGGUGAGGGACGACAUCUUCCUGAAUCCAAAGCCGGGGCAACCUGGCGCUUUUUGAGGAGCCCGCGGCCUAUCAGCUAGUUGGUGAGGUAACGGCCCACCAAGGCUAUGACGGGUAGCUGGUCUGAGAGGACGACCAGUCACACUGGAACUGAGACACGGUCCAGACACCUACGGGUGGCAGCAGUCGAGAAUUUUGCGCAAUGGGCGAAAGCCUGACGCAGCAACGCCGCGUGAGGGAUGACGGCCUUCGGGUUGUAAACCUCUUUUGUCAGGGAAGAUAAUGACGGUACCUGGCGAAUAAGCCACGGCUAACUACGUGCCAGCAGCCGC